GCAUAUCAAUAAGCGGAGGAAAAGAAACCAACAGGGAUUGCCUCAGUAACGGCGAGUGAAGCGGCAACAGCUCAAAUUUGAAAUCUGGCUCCUUCGGGGUCCGAGUUGUAAUUUGCAGAGGAUGCGUCGGGUACGGGUCCCUACCGAGUUCCCUGGAACGGGACGCCAUAGAGGGUGAGAGCCCCGUCUGGUAGGAUACCCAGCCCAUGUGACGCUCCCUCGACGAGUCGAGUAGUUUGGGAAUGCUGCUCUAACGGGAGGUAUACUCCUUCCAAAGCUAAAUACCGGCUGGAGACCGAUAGCGCACAAGUAGAGUGAUCGAAAGAUGAAAAGCACUUUGAAAAGAGAGUCAAACAGCACGUGAAAUUGUUAAAAGGGAAGCACUCGCUACCAGACUUGGGUUCGGCGGUUCAACCGGGGCCACGCCCCGGGGCAUUCCGCCGGCUCAGGCCAGCAUCAGCUUUCCGUCGGGGGCAAAGACGUCGGGAAUGUAGCUCCUCCUCGGGGGAGUGUUAUAGCCCGGCGUGUCAUACCCUUCGGGGGGCUGAGGUACGCGCUUCUGCAAGGAUGCUGGCGUAAUGGUAGCUAGUGACCCGUCUUGAAACACGGACCAAGGAGUCAACCUUAUGUGCGAGUGCCCGGGCGUAAAACCCCAGCGCGGAAUGAAAGUGAACGUAGGUGAGAGCUUCGGCGCAUCACCGACCGAUCCUGAUGUCCUCGGACGGAUUUGAGUGAGAGCAUAUAGGGUUGGACCCGAAAGAAGAUGAACUAUGCGUGUGUAGGGUGAAGCCAGAGGAAACUCUGGUGGAGGCUCGCAGCGGUUCUGACGUGCAAAUCGAUCGUCAAACAUGCGCAUGGGGGCGAAAGACUAAUCGAAUCUUCUGGUAGCUGGUUUC
RNAcentral lists this ribosomal RNA (896 nucleotides) under Plectosphaerella citrullae. Its description in RNAcentral is "eukaryotic LSU rRNA". It matches the Rfam family "Eukaryotic large subunit ribosomal RNA", at positions 38 to 958 of the family's 3401-position model. Lineage: Eukaryota; Fungi; Ascomycota; Sordariomycetes; Glomerellales; Plectosphaerellaceae. The record is from RNAcentral.